CACGGUGGAUGCCUUGGCACUAGAAGCCGAUGAAGGACGUUACUAACGACGAUAUGCUUUGGGGAGCUGUAAGUAAGCUUUGAUCCAGAGAUUUCCGAAUGGGGAAACCCAGCACGAGUUAUGUCGUGUUAUCUGCAUGUGAAUACAUAGCAUGCAAGAAGGCAGACCCGGAGAACUGAAACAUCUUAGUACCCGGAGGAAGAGAAAGAAAAAUCGAUUCCCUGAGUAGCGGCGAGCGAAACGGGAAGAGCCCAAACCAAUAAGCUUGCUUA
RNAcentral lists this ribosomal RNA (272 nucleotides) under Staphylococcus pseudintermedius. RNAcentral describes it as "partial 23S ribosomal RNA". It matches the Rfam family "Bacterial large subunit ribosomal RNA", at positions 20 to 291 of the family's 2925-position model. Lineage: Bacteria; Bacillati; Bacillota; Bacilli; Caryophanales; Staphylococcaceae. The record is from RNAcentral.